RNAcentral lists this ribosomal RNA (960 nucleotides) under Sclerophomella parvula. RNAcentral describes it as "Calophoma parvula partial large subunit ribosomal RNA". It matches the Rfam family "Eukaryotic large subunit ribosomal RNA", at positions 68 to 1048 of the family's 3401-position model. Lineage: Eukaryota; Fungi; Ascomycota; Dothideomycetes; Pleosporales; Didymellaceae. The record is from RNAcentral.
ACAGGGAUUGCCCUAGUAACGGCGAGUGAAGCGGCAACAGCUCAAAUUUGAAAUCUGGCGUCUUUGGCGUCCGAGUUGUAAUUUGCAGAGGGCGCUUUGGUAUUGGCAGCGGUCCAAGUUCCUUGGAACAGGACGUCACAGAGGGUGAGAAUCCCGUACGUGGUCGCUAACCUUUACCGUGUAAAGCCCCUUCGACGAGUCGAGUUGUUUGGGAAUGCAGCUCUAAAUGGGAGGUAAAUUUCUUCUAAAGCUAAAUACUGGCCAGAGACCGAUAGCGCACAAGUAGAGUGAUCGAAAGAUGAAAAGCACUUUGGAAAGAGAGUUAAAAAGCACGUGAAAUUGUUGAAAGGGAAGCGCUUGCAGCCAGACUUGCUUGUAGUUGCUCAUCCGGGUUUUUACCCGGUGCACUCUUCUAUAAGCAGGCCAGCAUCAGUUUGGGCGGUUGGAUAAAGGUCUCUGUCAUGUACCUCUCUUCGGGGAGAACUUAUAGGGGAGACGACAUGCAACCAGCCUGGACUGAGGUCCGCGCAUCUGCUAGGAUGCUGGCGUAAUGGCUGUAAGCGGCCCGUCUUGAAACACGGACCAAGGAGUCUAACAUCUAUGCGAGUGUUUGGGUGUCAAGCCCGAGCGCGUAAUGAAAGUGAACGGAGGUGGGAACCUUUCGGGGUGCACCAUCGACCGAUCCUGAUGUCUUCGGAUGGAUUUGAGUAAGAGCAUAGCUGUUGGGACCCGAAAGAUGGUGAACUAUGCUUGAAUAGGGUGAAGCCAGAGGAAACUCUGGUGGAGGCUCGCAGCGGUUCUGACGUGCAAAUCGAUCGUCAAAUUUGGGCAUAGGGGCGAAAGACUAAUCGAACUAUCUAGUAGCUGGUUCCUGCCGAAGUUUCCCUCAGGAUAGCAGUAACGUUUUCAGUUUUAUGAGGUAAAGCGAAUGAUUAGAGGCCUGGGGGUUGAAACAACCUU